Molecule: RNA transcript, 2283 nt
Organism: Gymnodraco acuticeps
Lineage: Eukaryota; Metazoa; Chordata; Actinopteri; Perciformes; Bathydraconidae
Gene: fsip1
Gene name: fibrous sheath interacting protein 1
Exons: 11
Source: RefSeq, a predicted model, not a curated record
CUAGCUAGCUUGUUACCCGCUACGCUAGCUAGCAGCAUCGAUUGAAGCAUCAGCUUGGCUGCCUCAAUUCCGUCCGGGAGCCAUAGUAACACAUGCAUAUUUCCAUAGUUACAACAUCCGGGACUGUUUGCGUCCAUAGUUACCAAAACACAAGGAGACAAGUUGUUUUACUUAGGCAACAGCAAUUUAAUAAUAUAUAUAUUUUUGACGUUUUACUUCUUGAAAUCGCACCAUGGAAAUCAUCAAAGGUACUUUGGAUGACAUUUCUCGACCUGCAUCGAGUGAGCAGACAGGCAGCCGUGUGUCAAGCAUGUCAUAUGGUGACAGAAUUGGUACAACUACUCCAUUUGCUCUGGUUGUUUUGACUAACGAUGCUGCUGAUGUUCAGAUCCAGAGCCGUUAUGAAGAACGUUUAAUCAACUCCUCAUCCAGAGGUCUGGACAAAGGCCAGUGUCCCCUUGAAGUUUCCGAUGAAGAAAAAGAAAAUCCCCGACUGCAGAGGGCCUUUGAGGAAAUGAAACGACUUGAUGACAUACUUUCUACAAAGACCUGCAUUGAAAAAGAAGUCAAGCGUCAAAGGAAAGAGCUUCAAGCUAAACUCUGGCAAGAGCUCAUGCAGAAUAAUCGUGAAGGUCACUCUGAAUGCGCCCAAGAAGCCAUGAACACAAGGUUGUUUUUGGCUCUGGAAGCACCCACUGUAACAGAAGGGGAGGACAACUUUGUGCCUGUGUUUGAAACUCAAGUUCCUGACUGGGAGCAAAGCCAAGAUAGCCAAUACUUGGAACAAAGUGAAAGGAGGCCAGACAGCUCAACAGACUUAUUUGAACAAGACCGCGAGGAGACUGGGGAAGAGCAAUUUGAAGGCAGCCACUGUGGAGCUUCCAAAGGCAGGAGAAAACAGAAGGACUUUGUGAAGAGAAACAUUGAGUUAGUAAGUGAGGGGGACCAAGUGCUUUUGACUCAGGCUGAGUUCGAGCGUCUGGCCGAGCUCCUUGGAGAAGUAGAGGAAGAUGAAGAGGAGAGUGCCAGAGGUGCAGACAGCGAGGGGGAUAUGUGGGCCGUGUCCGUCCCGACAGGCCAGGGUUACAUCCCUGAGCCCUCUGACCUGGAGCAGCUGAUUGACAUUGACUCCAAAAUGCGCCUUCUCCUUCCUGUCGAAGAAUUUGCCUCAAUGAACAGCUCGUACAGAAACCUGACCAUGUCCCAGGGCUGUGGCUCAGAGGUUGGCUGGAAGUGUGAUGGGGACCCGCAGCCAGGAGAGAAGGCCCUGCAGGAUAUAAAGGAGAGGAGAGGGCAGGAGAGGAGGCUCCAAGAGAUCCAACAGCAGCUGGAGUUCCUGGGCCAGGGCCAACAUAUGACUAGCUGAUGAACGGGAGUCAGAGGCGGUGUACGCCGUGGGAACGACGUGUAGAGGAGAGGCCCAAGGACUGUCAGAACGGCGGACGAUACCCAGGCGUUCCAUGGUUGAAAACUCCGCCCUCGCUACUGCAAGCAUAGAAGGGUUCAACCGCCGGGCCCUGGCGUAGACUGGGGGACCCUCGGUGGUGACGUGGUGCUCCACCCCAUGCUUGGUGGUGAGCGCGGAGAAGAUUGAGUCACCGGACCUUAUUGAGGAGCAGUUACUAUUUAGUCUGCUGGAUGAAUGUGAGUUGACAGACAGUUGGACCCAGGAUCUUGAGACAAACGCAACAACUGAUUGAGACUCAAACAAUCUGUAUGUUCCAAUACCCAGACUAACAUACUAUGGAGUAUGACACAAACAAAUGUAGCAUGUCCAUUGUCCACAAUAUAUAAAAAGUAAAAAGCAGUAAGCCGAAAAGUCAGCAUAAUUUUCUCACUAUGUUGACCCACAAUUCUUGGAAGCUGCAGUAGCUACUUACUAAAAGUGUUUUUUAAAGCAUGCAAUGUUUAAUGCAGCCAAAGAUGCUAACAACUGGAAGCCUUACAAUCAGAACGCCUAUCAAGAUGCAUCAUUCCUGGGACAGCACUAUCUGGCUACUAGGGGGUUAUGAGAAAAACAUUACUGGAUCUAAACAUAUUUAACAAUAAAUUCCUAUCACAACUGAUAUUCUGAAUUUAAAAACAUCUGAGUGAAAUUGUAGCUUUUCUAAUUAUGUAAAUAUAACUAACCAGUGUUAUAUUUGUUUCAAUGUUCUACUCUAGAGCAGUGUUUCUCAAACGUUUUCAUACCAAGGACCACACUUUGAGAAGCAGAGCAGUGCUUUUCACAAACACCCCCGCCACACAUUUACCGACACAAACAUUUGUAUCAUCUGUUGUAGA